This 716-nucleotide long non-coding RNA is filed under the name Chrysemys picta bellii (western painted turtle). RNAcentral's name for it is "lncRNA (ENSCPBG00000025259.1)". Lineage: Eukaryota; Metazoa; Chordata; Testudines; Emydidae. The record is from RNAcentral.
AUGCUCUAAUUUAAACAAUUCUACAACAGAGAAAUCAGGGGCUGCUCGUGUCAUAUUGUGAAGAACAAACGGGGAAGCGGAGCUUGAGGAUUGGAGAAGGAAAGGAGGACUGGGAUGACAGCUUUCUCUUUAAGAGGCUGGAUUCCCUCUCUUUGACGUCAGGGUUUCUGCACCAAAGACUGGCAUCUGAUAACCUGUUCGCUGGGUUAAAGAGGAUCUGAGAGCAGCGAGCGAGCGAAAUCCCCCUUUCAGCUGCAAUCAGCCAUCUGGUCCUCGAGUCGCUCCCAUCCUCUUAGCAGCAGCAGCAGCAGCAGCAUUCCUGGGCCCGGGGCGCUUCCUUGCAGCAUCCUACCAUGUCUGUGGCCGGGCUGAAGAAGCAGUUCCACAAAGCCACCCAGACAAAUUUUGCCCGAUGGCCAGUCAGGAUCCACUCAUCUGGGGGUUCCCGGCGAUGCCUCUGCACGUCACGGUCGCGCAGAGGGGUCAGAGUUCCAGUAGCUUGAUGUUGAACUGCAAUCCGGAAAUGGUUCCCAAAGAACAUUGUUUUUCAUUUACAUCAUAUAGGUUUCUAGGGAAAAUGUGCCUGCUUUUUUGAUCUAUUGCAACAAUUCCUUAACUCCAUCCAGUAGAGGACUCACCCAAAUUCUGGUUAUGAAUAUAAUGGUGUAUAUUGGGACCUUUAUCGACAGCUGUGCGUAGAGCAAAACAUUGCAUCU